GAAAAGUUUGGUUCUGGCUUUAAAGUUGGUUUUUUCAUAAAAAAAUACAUGACACUAUACCGGAUUAGUGAGAUUUUUUACCUUAUAGUCGUUUAAAACGUUUAAUAUUUUGUUAAAAUAUUAUUAUUAUAAAAAAUAUAUUUUGAUUAUUCCACUUCCAUCAGUAUUGAAGAUUAAAAACAAAGGAAACUUAGGUUUAGUUAUUGAAUAAAGAGCUGGUAAAUUAUGGUGCCAGCAGCCGCGGUUAAACCAUUAACUCAAAUCAACUAACAACAGCAAAAAAGACGGUUAAAUAAAACCUAUCAAGAAUACCAACUUAAAUUAAUAAAGUACAAUUUGUUAAAAAAGAACUCCUUAAUAUUCUUCAUAAUUGAAGCCGUAACCUCUUUUACAAAAACUAGGAUUAGAUACCCUACUAUUAAAAGAAAUAAAUAUUAAUUAAUUUUUGCUUGGGCACUACGAACACAUGUUUAAAACCCAAAGAACUUGGCGGUACUUUAACCCACUUAGGGGAACCUGUCCUUUAAUUCGAUAGUCCACGACAAUCUUAUUUAUUUUAGAACACUUCAGCUUGUAUACCGUCGUCAUAAGUUAACCUUAAAAAGAAAAAAAGUCAACAAUAAAGAUAAAUUUAAUAAUUUUCUCUCAGGUCAGAUCAAGGUGCAGCUAAUAAAUAAAGAGGAGAUGGGUUACAAUUGAUAAAUCUCAAAUGGAAUUUUUAAAGAAAAUAAAAACGAAAUAGGACUUAAAAGUAAUUUAUGAAAACAAACACUAAUGAAUAAGGAAAUAAAGUGUGUACAUAUCGCCCGUCGCUCUCAUUGAAAAACGAGAUAAGUCGUAACAUAGUAGGUGUAGCGGAAGCUGCCCCUAACAAAUA
RNAcentral lists this ribosomal RNA (877 nucleotides) under Cellana nigrlineata. Its description in RNAcentral is "small subunit ribosomal RNA". Lineage: Eukaryota; Metazoa; Mollusca; Gastropoda; Nacellidae. The record is from RNAcentral.